This 253-nucleotide ribosomal RNA is filed under the name uncultured bacterium. RNAcentral's name for it is "partial 16S ribosomal RNA". It matches the Rfam family "Bacterial small subunit ribosomal RNA", at positions 524 to 776 of the family's 1533-position model. The record is from RNAcentral.
UACAGAGGGUGCGAGCGUUAAUCGGAAUUACUGGGCGUAAAGCGUGCGUAGACGGUCAUGUAAGUCGGAUGUGAAAGCCCCGGGCUCAACCUGGGAAUUGCAUUCGAGACUGCAUGGCUUGGGUGCGGAAGAGGGAAGCGGAAUUUCCGGUGUAGCGGUGAAAUGCGUAGAUAUCGGAAAGAACACCAACGGCGAAAGCACUCUGCUGGGCCGACACUGACACUGAGAGACGAAAGCUAGGGGAGCAAAUGGG